Molecule: ribosomal RNA, 690 nt
Filed under: uncultured bacterium
Lineage: Bacteria
Description: bacterial SSU rRNA
Rfam family: Bacterial small subunit ribosomal RNA
Source: RNAcentral
UGGCGGCGCGCUUAACACAUGCAAGUCGAGCGAGAAAGGGGCAACCUGAGUAAAGCGGCAGACGGGUGAGUAACACGUGGGUAUCCACUCUUUGGUGGGGAAUAACUCUGGGAAACCGGAGCUAAUACCGCAUAAGUCCGAGAGGAGAAAGGCGAAAGUCGCCGAAGAAGGAGCCCGCGGCUGAUUAGCUAGUUGGUGAGGUAACGGCUCACCAAGGCGAAGAUCGGUAGCCGGCCUGAGAGGGCACACGGCCACACUGGCACUGAGACACGGGCCAGACUCCUACGGGAGGCAGCAGUGGGGAAUCUUGCACAAUGGGGGAAACCCUGAUGCAGCGACGCCGCGUGAACGAUGAAGCCCUUCGGGGUGUAAAGUUCUUUUGGCAGGAACGAUAAUGACGGUACCUGAAGAAGAAGCUGCGGCUAACUACGUGCCAGCAGCCGCGGUAAUACGUAGGCAGCAAACGUUGUUCGGAGUUAUUGGGCGUAAAGAGUACGUAGGCGGUUUGCCAAGUUUGGUGUGAAAUCUCCUGGCUUAACUGGGAGGGUGCGCCGAAUACUGGCAGGCUUGAGUGUUGGAGAGGAAAGCGGAAUUCCUGGUGUAGCGGUGAAAUGCGUAGAUAUCAGGAGGAACACCGGUGGUGUAGACGGCUUUCUGGACAACAACUGACGCUGAGGUACGAAAGCGUGG